GUCCACGCCGUAAACGAUGGGUACUAGGUGCCUGGGGGAGCGACCCCUUGGGUGCCGGCGCUAACGCAGGAAGUACCCCGCCUGGGGAGUACGGCCGCAAGGCUGAAACUCAAAGGAAUUGACGGGGGCCCGCACAAGCGGUGGAGCAUGUGGUUUAAUUCGACGCAACGCGAAGAACCUUACCUAGGCUUGACAUGCAUGGGAAACUCCUGAGAAACCAGGAGCCUCCUUCGGGAUCCAUGCACAGGUGCUGCAUGGCUGUCGU
RNAcentral lists this ribosomal RNA (265 nucleotides) under uncultured bacterium. RNAcentral describes it as "partial 16S ribosomal RNA". It matches the Rfam family "Bacterial small subunit ribosomal RNA", at positions 793 to 1055 of the family's 1533-position model. The record is from RNAcentral.